RNAcentral lists this transfer RNA (82 nucleotides) under Asterophora parasitica. Its description in RNAcentral is "tRNA-Phe". The record is from RNAcentral. Lineage: Eukaryota; Fungi; Basidiomycota; Agaricomycetes; Agaricales; Lyophyllaceae.
GGGGGCAUAGCUCAGUUGGGAGAGCAGCAGACUGAAGCAAGUUGGGUUCUGAAGGUCCCGCGUUCAAUCCGCGGUGCCCCCA